Molecule: ribosomal RNA, 538 nt
Filed under: uncultured Myroides sp.
Lineage: Bacteria; Pseudomonadati; Bacteroidota; Flavobacteriia; Flavobacteriales; Flavobacteriaceae
Description: bacterial SSU rRNA
Rfam family: Bacterial small subunit ribosomal RNA
Source: RNAcentral
UUGGUCAAGGGAGGCAACUCUGAACCAGCCAUGCCGCGUGCAGGAAGAAUGUCCUAUGGAUUGUAAACUGCUUUUGUACGGGAAGAAUAGUAAUUACGUGUAAUUAUUUGACGGUACCGUAAGAAUAAGGAUCGGCUAACUCCGUGCCAGCAGCCGCGGUAAUACGGAGGAUCCGAGCGUUAUCCGGAAUUAUUGGGUUUAAAGGGUCCGUAGGCGGCCUUGUAAGUCGGGGGUGAAAUCUCUUAGCUCAACUAAGAACUUGCCUUUGAUACUGCUUGGCUUGAAUCAUUANGAAGUAACUAGAAUAUGUAGUGUAGCGGUGAAAUGCUUAGAUAUUACAUGGAAUACCGAUUGCGAAGGCAGGUUACUACUAGUGUAUUGACGCUGAUGGACGAAAGCGUGGGUAGCGAACAGGAUUAGAUACCCUGGUAGUCCACGCCGUAAACGAUGGAUACUAGCUGUUCGAUUUCGGAUUGAGUGGCUAAGCGAAAGUGAUAAGUAUCCCACCUGGGGAGUACGUUCGCAAGAAUGAAACUCA